GAGACCCACGCCAACAGUUGCCAGCAUGUCUUCCGGGAUGGUGGGGACACUGUUGGGACCGCCUCUGCUAAAGAGGAGGAAGGAAUGGGCAACGGUAGGUCAGCAUGCCCCGAAUUAUCCGGGCUACACGCGGGCUACAAUGGUCAGGACAAUGGGUAUCGACACCGAGAGGUGAAGGCAAUCUCUUAAACCUGUCCUUAGUUCGGAUUGUGGGCUGCAACUCGCCCACAUGAAGCUGGAAUCCGUAGUAAUCGCGUCUCAAAAUGGCGCGGUGAAUAU
This 279-nucleotide ribosomal RNA is filed under the name uncultured archaeon. RNAcentral describes it as "partial 16S rRNA". It matches the Rfam family "Archaeal small subunit ribosomal RNA", at positions 1047 to 1325 of the family's 1478-position model. The record is from RNAcentral.